RNAcentral lists this ribosomal RNA (166 nucleotides) under uncultured bacterium. Its description in RNAcentral is "partial 16S ribosomal RNA". It matches the Rfam family "Bacterial small subunit ribosomal RNA", at positions 1327 to 1500 of the family's 1533-position model. The record is from RNAcentral.
UGGAUUCGCUAGUAAUCGCGCAUCAGCCAUGGCGCGGUGAAUACGUUCCCGGGCCUUGUACACACCGCCCGUCAAGCCAUGGAAGCCGGGGGCGCUUGAAGUGCGUUGCCGCAAGGCGCGCCCUAGAGCGAAACCGGUGACUGGGGCUAAGUCGUAACAAGGUAAC